GGGCGGGCCCUGUGCGACGGGGCGCCAUGAACCGUGUCAGAUGGGGAACCAAGCAGCACUAAGUGGCCGUUUCCGUGCGCCGCAGGCAUCCUGUCCUCU
This 99-nucleotide signal recognition particle RNA is filed under the name Candidatus Ruthenibacterium merdigallinarum. RNAcentral's name for it is "signal recognition particle sRNA small type". It matches the Rfam family "Bacterial small signal recognition particle RNA". Rfam says of the family: The signal recognition particle (SRP) is a universally conserved ribonucleoprotein involved in the co-translational targeting of proteins to membranes. Archaeal SRP consists of a 7S RNA and homologues of the eukaryotic SRP19 and SRP54 proteins. The record is from RNAcentral. Lineage: Bacteria; Bacillati; Bacillota; Clostridia; Eubacteriales; Oscillospiraceae.